Molecule: ribosomal RNA, 380 nt
Filed under: uncultured eukaryote
Lineage: Eukaryota
Description: partial 18S ribosomal RNA
Rfam family: Eukaryotic small subunit ribosomal RNA
Source: RNAcentral
CAAUAGCGUAUAUUAAAGUUGUUGCAGUUAGAACGCUCGUAGUCGGAUUUCGGGGCGGUCCGACCGGUCUGCCGAUGGGUACGCACUGGUCGGAGCGUCCUUUUUGCCGGAGACCGUGCCUACUCUUAACUGAGCGGGGGCGGGAGACGGCACUUUUACUUUGAAAAAAUCAGAGUGUUUCAAGCAGGCAGCUCGCUCUUGCAUGGAUUAGCAUGGGAUAAUGAAAUAGGACUUUGGUGCUAUUUUGUUGGUUUCGAACACCGAAGUAAUGAUGAGAAGGGACAGUCAGGGGCACUCGUAUUCCGCCGAGAGAGGUGAAAUUCUCAGACCAGCGGAAGACGAACCACUGCGAAAGCAUUUGCCAGGGAUGUUUUCACUGA